Molecule: ribosomal RNA, 251 nt
Filed under: uncultured bacterium
Lineage: Bacteria
Description: partial 16S ribosomal RNA
Rfam family: Bacterial small subunit ribosomal RNA
Source: RNAcentral
UACGAAGGGGGCUAGCGUUGCUCGGAAUCACUGGGCGUAAAGGGUGCGUAGGCGGGUCUUAAGUCAGGGGUGAAAUCCUGGAGCUCAACUCCAGAACUGCCUUUGAUACUGAAGAUCUUGAGUUCGGGAGAGGUGAGUGGAACUGCGAGUGUAGAGGUGAAAUUCGUAGAUAUUCGCAAGAACACCAGUGGCGAAGGCGGCUCACUGGCCCGAUACUGACGCUGAGGCACGAAAGCGUGGGAGCAAACAGG